Molecule: unclassified non-coding RNA, 353 nt
Filed under: uncultured Lycoperdon
Lineage: Eukaryota; Fungi; Basidiomycota; Agaricomycetes; Agaricales; Lycoperdaceae
Description: sequence contains ITS1
Rfam family: Eukaryotic small subunit ribosomal RNA (bases 1-46)
Source: RNAcentral
AAGUCGUAACAAGGUUUCCGUAGGUGAACCUGCGGAAGGAUCAUUAUUGAAUAUUCUUGAUGAGUUGUAGCUGGCUCUCCGGGGCAUGUGCACGCUUGUCUUGAUUCUAUUCAUCCACCUGUGCACCUUUUGUAGUCUUGGGGGUUGAAAGCAGUCGACUAUCGGAUGGCUACGGCUACUCCGGAUGUGAGAAAUGCUGAGCGCAGAGACGCAUACAGCUCUUCUCAAAUGACUUGCAUACCCUUGAGUACUAUGUAUUCAUAUACCACGUCGUAUGUUGCAGAAUGUGAUCAAUGGGUCUAUGUACCUAUAAUAAUCAUAUACAACUUUCAGCAACGGAUCUCUUGGCUCUC